UGACCACUUUGCCCACUCCCCUUUUUAAUGGGCCUCAGGAAAGGCAAGCCCUAAGCUUGCCCAACUGGGCAGAGGGAUCCUCCUCAGAUCAUCACCGGAAUUUGCAGUCAUUCUGCCCUCACCUUCUGCUGCUUGGGUUACUUAGAGGUGAAGAAGGAAAUCCAGCAACACAUUUUCAGAGACUCACAGAAUUGUUUUGUUUGGCAAAGAGCUUUAAGCUCAUCCAGUCGAACCAUUCUCUGACUCUUCCAAGUCUGGUGCUAAGCCACGUCCCUCAGCACCACAUCUCUGCCUCUUUGAAACACCUCCAGAGAAGUGAUUCAGCCUUCAGAAGUUCCCUCACUGUUUUUAAAGGAAGAACAUGAUCUGAAUUCUCCUAGUUUUGCCUGGGUUGUGAUUUAAGCUUGCAGUGGCCUGGCAGACUCAGCUGAGGCUCAAGUUUGUACCAGCCCCCAGGAGGACAACUUUCCAGUUAAUCAAGUGCAGUUCUGGAGCUGCCUCUUCACAAAGCUUGCCACUGUCUUCUGCAUCUGCUUCGUGGGGAUCAUUUUCUUCAAAGUCAUCAGAAAAGGAAAAAAAAAAGCAACAUCAAGGAAAGAUGAACUAAAAAAAAAACCUAACAGCUGCUAAAGAAGUCAUCUAAAACAGACCUUCCAGGUUUAAAAACUAAAUAAAAAUAGAGAAAGAUCUCAAA
This is a long non-coding RNA of Pogoniulus pusillus (Red-fronted tinkerbird), 694 nucleotides long. RefSeq lists it as uncharacterized. The transcript has 2 exons. Lineage: Eukaryota; Metazoa; Chordata; Aves; Piciformes; Lybiidae. The record is from RefSeq and is a predicted model, not a curated record.